This 1464-nucleotide ribosomal RNA is filed under the name uncultured organism. Its description in RNAcentral is "SSU rRNA". It matches the Rfam family "Bacterial small subunit ribosomal RNA". The record is from RNAcentral.
AACGCUGGCGGCGUGCCUAAUACAUGCAAGUAGAACGCUGAAGAGAGGAGCUUGCUCUUCUUGGAUGAGUUGCGAACGGGUGAGUAACGCGUAGGUAACCUGCCUUGUAGCGGGGGAUAACUAUUGGAAACGAUAGCUAAUACCGCAUAACAAUGGAUGACACAUGUCAUUUAUUUGAAAGGGGCAAAUGCUCCACUACAAGAUGGACCUGCGUUGUAUUAGCUAGUAGGUGAGGUAACGGCUCACCUAGGCGACGAUACAUAGCCGACCUGAGAGGGUGAUCGGCCACACUGGGACUGAGACACGGCCCAGACUCCUACGGGAGGCAGCAGUGGGGAAUCUUCGGCAAUGGGGGCAACCCUGACCGAGCAACGCCGCGUGAGUGAAGAAGGUUUUCGGAUCGUAAAGCUCUGUUGUAAGUCAAGAACGAGUGUGAGAGUGGAAAGUUCACACUGUGACGGUAGCUUACCAGAAAGGGACGGCUAACUACGUGCCAGCAGCCGCGGUAAUACGUAGGUCCCGAGCGUUGUCCGGAUUUAUUGGGCGUAAAGCGAGCGCAGGCGGUUUGAUAAGUCUGAAGUUAAAGGCUGUGGCUCAACCAUAGUUCGCUUUGGAAACUGUCAAACUUGAGUGCAGAAGGGGAGAGUGGAAUUCCUUGUGUAGCGGUGAAAUGCGUAGAUAUAUGGAGGAACACCGGUGGCGAAAGCGGCUCUCUGGUCUGUAACUGACGCUGAGGCUCGAAAGCGUGGGGAGCGAACAGGAUUAGAUACCCUGGUAGUCCACGCCGUAAACGAUGAGUGCUAGGUGUUGGAUCCUUUCCGGGAUUCAGUGCCGCAGCUAACGCAUUAAGCACUCCGCCUGGGGAGUACGACCGCAAGGUUGAAACUCAAAGGAAUUGACGGGGGCCCGCACAAGCGGUGGAGCAUGUGGUUUAAUUCGAAGCAACGCGAAGAACCUUACCAGGUCUUGACAUCCCGAUGCUAUUUCUAGAGAUAGAAAGUUACUUCGGUACAUCGGUGACAGGUGGUGCAUGGUUGUCGUCAGCUCGUGUCGUGAGAUGUUGGGUUAAGUCCCGCAACGAGCGCAACCCCUAUUGUUAGUUGCCAUCAUUCAGUUGGGCACUCUAGCGAGACUGCCGGUAAUAAACCGGAGGAAGGUGGGGAUGACGUCAAAUCAUCAUGCCCCUUAUGACCUGGGCUACACACGUGCUACAAUGGUUGGUACAACGAGUUGCGAGUCGGUGACGGCAAGCUAAUCUCUUAAAGCCAAUCUCAGUUCGGAUUGUAGGCUGCAACUCGCCUACAUGAAGUCGGAAUCGCUAGUAAUCGCGGAUCAGCACGCCGCGGUGAAUACGUUCCCGGGCCUUGUACACACCGCCCGUCACACCACGAGAGUUUGUAACACCUGAAGUCGGUGAGGUAACCUUUUGGAGCCAGCCGCCUAAGGUGGGAUAGAUGAUUGGGG